CUGCUUGCUUGCUUGCUUGCUUUAACAGCUUCCUCCUCUCAUCUCUUAUGGCAAAACCUUUCAAAUUUUGCUAGAAGAAUACCCAAAGAAAAUCAAAAUGGCCUCUAUAUCCACAUGCUUCACUGUUUCCGCCAAAUCUCGCAUCCUAUGUUCUCAUCCAAUUUUCACUUCGAAAACCUCAUUUCGUCUUAAACCUCCCGAUUCUUUUACUAGUAUCCAGCCACUUCAUUUCGUCAGAAUUCCCU
Molecule: unclassified non-coding RNA, 245 nt
Filed under: Hevea brasiliensis (rubber tree)
Lineage: Eukaryota; Viridiplantae; Streptophyta; Magnoliopsida; Malpighiales; Euphorbiaceae
Source: RNAcentral